Molecule: transfer RNA, 72 nt
Filed under: Candidatus Pacearchaeota archaeon
Lineage: Archaea; Nanobdellati
Description: tRNA-Thr
Rfam family: tRNA
About the family: Transfer RNA (tRNA) molecules are approximately 80 nucleotides in length. Their secondary structure includes four short double-helical elements and three loops (D, anti-codon, and T loops). Further hydrogen bonds mediate the characteristic L-shaped molecular structure. tRNAs have two regions of fundamental functional importance: the anti-codon, which is responsible for specific mRNA codon recognition, and the 3' end, to which the tRNAs corresponding amino acid is attached (by aminoacyl-tRNA synthetases). tRNAs cope with the degeneracy of the genetic code in two manners: having more than one tRNA (with a specific anti-codon) for a particular amino acid; and 'wobble' base-pairing, i.e. permitting non-standard base-pairing at the 3rd anti-codon position.
Source: RNAcentral
GCCUGUGUAGCUCAGUGGCAGAGCACGACUUUCGUAAAGUUGGGGUCGCAGGUUCAAAUCCUGCCACAGGCU